CGAACAGGAUUAGAUACCCUGGUAGUCCACGCCGUAAACGUUGGGCGCUAGGUGUGGGGGCCAUUCCACGGUCUCCGUGCCGCAGCUAACGCAUUAAGCGCCCCGCCUGGGGAGUACGGCCGCAAGGCUAAAACUCAAAGGAAUUGACGGGGGCCCGCACAAGCGGCGGAGCAUGUUGCUUAAUUCGAUGCAACGCGAAGAACCUUACCUAGGCUUGACAUGCACGGAAAUCUCGUAGAGAUACGGGGUGCCUUUGGCGUCGUGCACAGGUGGUGCAUGGUUGUCGUCAGCUCGUGUCGUGAGAUGUUGGGUUAAGUCCCGCAACGAGCGCAACCCUCGUUCUAUGUUGCCAGCACGUGAUGGUGGGGACUCAUAGGAGACUGCCGGGGUCAACUCGGAGGAAGGUGGGGAUGACGUCAAAUCAUCAUGCCCCUUAUGUCUAGGGCUGCAAACAUGCUACAAUGGCCGGUACAAAGGGCUGCGAUACCGCGAGGUGGAGCGAAUCCCAAAAAGCCGGUCUCAGUUCGGAUUGGGGUCUGCAACUCGACCCCAUGAAGUUGGAGUCGCUAGUAAUCGCAGAUCAGCAACGCUGCGGUGAAUACGUUCCCGGGCCUUGUACACACCGCCCGUCACGUCACGAA
This 641-nucleotide ribosomal RNA is filed under the name Modestobacter sp. I12A-02991. RNAcentral describes it as "bacterial SSU rRNA". It matches the Rfam family "Bacterial small subunit ribosomal RNA", at positions 769 to 1408 of the family's 1533-position model. Lineage: Bacteria; Bacillati; Actinomycetota; Actinomycetes; Geodermatophilales; Geodermatophilaceae. The record is from RNAcentral.